AAAGGGGCUUCGGCCCUGAGUAGAGUGGCAAACGGGUGAGUAACACGUGGGUGACCUGCCUUCGAGUGGGGGAUAACGUCCCGAAAGGGACGCUAAUACCGCAUGACAUCCUGCCUUUGGACAGGCGGAGAUCAAAGCUGGGGAUCGCAAGACCUGGCGCUUGAAGAGGGGCCCGCGCCUGAUUAGCUAGUUGGUGGGGUAAUGGCUCACCAAGGCGACGAUCAGUAUCCGGCCUGAGAGGGCGGACGGACACACUGGGACUGAGACACGGCCCAGACUCCUACGGGAGGCAGCAGUGGGGAAUUGUUCGCAAUGGGCGCAAGCCUGACGACGCAACGCCGCGUGGAGGAUGAAGAUCUUCGGGUCGUAAACUCCUGUCGAGCGGGAAGAACACCUUCCGGGUGAAUAUCCUGGAGGGCUGACGGUACCGCUAAAGGAAGCCCCGGCUAACUCCGUGCCAGCAGCCGCGGUAAUACGGGGGGGGCAAGCGUUGUUCGGAAUUACUGGGCGUAAAGGGCUCGUAGGCGGCCAACUAAGUCAGACGUGAAAUCCCCAGGCUCAACCUGGGAACUGCGUCUGAUACUGAUUGGCUUGAAUCCGGGAGAGGGAUGCAGAAUUCCAGGUGUAGCGGUGAAAUGCGUAGAUAUCUGGAGGAAUACCGGUGGCGAAGGCGGCAUCCUGGACCGGCAUUGACGCUGAGGAGCGAAAGCCAGGGGAGCAAACGGGAUUAGAUACCCCGGUAGUCCUGGCCCUAAACGAUGAAUGCUUGGUGUGACGGGUAUCGAUCCCUGUCGUG
RNAcentral lists this ribosomal RNA (796 nucleotides) under uncultured Acidobacteriota bacterium. Its description in RNAcentral is "bacterial SSU rRNA". It matches the Rfam family "Bacterial small subunit ribosomal RNA", at positions 71 to 845 of the family's 1533-position model. Lineage: Bacteria; Pseudomonadati; Acidobacteriota. The record is from RNAcentral.